UCAUUUAGUUUUUGUUCACAAAAAGAGGUC
This 30-nucleotide non-coding RNA is filed under the name Rattus norvegicus (Norway rat). The record is from RNAcentral. Lineage: Eukaryota; Metazoa; Chordata; Mammalia; Rodentia; Muridae.